Molecule: ribosomal RNA, 660 nt
Filed under: uncultured bacterium
Lineage: Bacteria
Description: bacterial SSU rRNA
Rfam family: Bacterial small subunit ribosomal RNA
Source: RNAcentral
AGUGGCGGACGGGUGAGUAACGCGUGAGAAUCUGCCUUGGGGUCGGGGACAACCACUGGAAACGGUGGCUAAUACCGGAUAAGCCGAUUGGUGAAAGAUUUAUUGCCCGAAGAGGAGCUCGCGUUUGAUUAGCUAGUUGGUGAGGUAAGAGCUCACCAAGGCAGCGAUCAGUAGCUGGUCUGAGAGGACGAUCAGCCACACUGGGACUGAGACACGGCCCAGACUCCUACGGGAGGCAGCAGUGGGGAAUUUUCCGCAAUGGGCGAAAGCCUGACGGAGCAAGACCGCGUGAGGGAGGAAGGCUCUUGGGUUGUAAACCUCUUUUCUCAGGGAAGAAGCUCUGACGGUACCUGAGGAAUCAGCCUCGGCUAACUCCGUGCCAGCAGCCGCGGUAAUACGGAGGAGGCAAGCGUUAUCCGGAAUUAUUGGGCGUAAAGCGUCCGCAGGUGGCGAUUCAAGUCUGCUGUCAAAGCACGGGGCUUAACUCCGUAAAGGCAGUGGAAACUGAAUAGCUAGAGUGCCGUAGGGGUAGAGGGAAUUCCCGGUGUAGCGGUGAAAUGCGUAGAGAUCGGGAAGAACAUCGGUGGCGAAAGCGCUCUACUGGACGGCAACUGACACUCAGGGACGAAAGCUAGGGGAGCGAAUGGGAUUAGAUACCCC